Non-coding RNA from Octopus bimaculoides (California two-spot octopus), 107 nucleotides. The record is from Rfam. Lineage: Eukaryota; Metazoa; Mollusca; Cephalopoda; Octopoda; Octopodidae.
GUACUAGCUUUGGCUGUACAUAUACUAGAAUUAGAAUGAUACAGAGGACAUUAGCAUCGCCCCUGUGCAAGAAUAACAUGUAAAUUCAUGAAGCAUUCCAUAUUUUU